CAAUAGCGUAUAUUAAAGUUGUUGCAGUUAAAAAGCUCGUAGUUGGAUUUCUGGUGGGAGCGAUCGGUCUGGCGCUUAGCGCGAGUACUUGCAUCGUCUCCGGCCAUCCUUGGGGAGAGUCUGUCUGGCAUUAGGUUGUCGGGCAGAGGAUCCUCAUCGUUUACUGUGAAAAAAUUAGAGUGUUCAAAGCAGGCUUAUGCCGUUGAAUAUAUUAGCAUGGAAUAAUAAGAUAGGACUUUGGUACUAUUUUGUUGGUUUGCGCACCAAAGUAAUGAUUAAUAGGGACAGUUGGGGGUAUUCGUAUUCCGUUGUCAGAGGUGAAAUUCGUGGAUUUACGGAAGACGAACUACUGCGAAAGCAUUUACCAAGGAUGUUUUCAUUAA
Molecule: ribosomal RNA, 383 nt
Filed under: uncultured eukaryote
Lineage: Eukaryota
Description: partial 18S ribosomal RNA
Rfam family: Eukaryotic small subunit ribosomal RNA
Source: RNAcentral